Acanthosepion pharaonis is the source of this 100-nucleotide non-coding RNA. The record is from the annotation of a GenBank genome assembly. NCBI's taxonomy places the organism in Eukaryota, Metazoa, Mollusca, Cephalopoda, Sepiida, Sepiidae.
AUCACGUUGAAACACUGACUCCCGUACGAUCACCGAAGUUAAGCAACGUCGAGCCUGGUCAGUACCUAGGUGAGCGGUCGUUUGGGAAUAAAAGCUGCAG